This is a long non-coding RNA of Rosa rugosa (rugosa rose), 574 nucleotides long. RefSeq lists it as uncharacterized. NCBI's taxonomy places the organism in Eukaryota, Viridiplantae, Streptophyta, Magnoliopsida, Rosales, Rosaceae. The transcript is spliced from 3 exons. The record is from RefSeq and is a predicted model, not a curated record.
UGUUGGCGCCUGGCAGUUUCUUGAGAAAAGCGAAAAAAAAAAAUUGAAGAGUUAAGCUAUAUCUGGACUCCCUCCACCAAAAGCUCAGGUUUACAUUUCUUUUCCCCUCUCUCUCUCUCUCUCUCUCUCUCUCUCUGUGACGCUCUCGCUGAUCGGAGAGUCGAGUCUCCGGUGAGCUUCGAUCGUCGUCCGGUUCGGAAAGACACUUCAGACUUUCAGUAAUUUCCAAGCCUCGAUCCAUUCCUCUAUCUUCUCACUCCCUUAAGCAUAACCGUAAUUCUCUCAGCGUCAUCUCCAUAGCUUCGAUCUUUUCACGUUUGCUUCGCCUAUCUUUCAAGUCGGCACCGUCGUCAAAUUAAUUUCAGGGGGUUUGGUUCGCCAUCAGUAGUAGAGCUUCCUCUGUUGUCUUCCGCUCUUCCGCUACCCUCUCGUUAAGCAGAACACAUUGAUUUUGAGAGGGAUUUGAGGAUUGAUUGAAGUUGGAAAGAUUCUACUAGGUAAGGGGUUUUGAUUCAAUCAAUUAAGAGUAUAGUAAUUUGAAUCAUUGAAGUGGUCUGGGAGCAUCACUUUUUGU